Molecule: transfer RNA, 84 nt
Filed under: Cyanobium sp. CACIAM 14
Lineage: Bacteria; Bacillati; Cyanobacteriota; Cyanophyceae; Synechococcales; Prochlorococcaceae
Rfam family: tRNA
About the family: Transfer RNA (tRNA) molecules are approximately 80 nucleotides in length.
Source: Rfam by way of RNAcentral
GGGGGCAUGGCGAAACCGGUAGACGCAGCGGACUUAAAAUCCGCAGGCCGAAAGGCUGUGGGGGUUCGAGUCCCCCUGCCCCCA